GAAUCUUGCGCAAUGGGCGAAAGCCUGACGCAGCCAUGCCGCGUGAAUGAUGAAGGUCUUAGGAUUGUAAAAUUCUUUCACCGGGGACGAUAAUGACGGUACCCGGAGAAGAAGCCCCGGCUAACUUCGUGCCAGCAGCCGCGGUAAUACGAAGGGGGCUAGCGUUGUUCGGAAUUACUGGGCGUAAAGGGCGCGUAGGCGGACUGUUAAGUCAGGGGUGAAAUCCCGGGGCUCAACCCCGGAACUGCCUUUGAUACUGGCGGUCUUGAGUUCGGGAGAGGUGAGUGGAAUUCCGAGUGUAGAGGUGAAAUUCGUAGAUAUUCGGAGGAACACCAGUGGCGAAGGCGGCUCACUGGCCCGAUACUGACGCUGAGGUGCGAAAGCGUGGGGAGCAAACAG
Molecule: ribosomal RNA, 399 nt
Filed under: uncultured bacterium
Lineage: Bacteria
Description: bacterial SSU rRNA
Rfam family: Bacterial small subunit ribosomal RNA
Source: RNAcentral